Molecule: ribosomal RNA, 207 nt
Filed under: uncultured delta proteobacterium
Lineage: Bacteria; Deltaproteobacteria
Description: partial 16S ribosomal RNA
Rfam family: Bacterial small subunit ribosomal RNA
Source: RNAcentral
CGCGUAGGCGGCCCCUUAAGUCAGAUGUGAAAGCCCUCAGCUUAACUGAGGAAGUGCAUUUGAAACUAAGAGGCUUGAGUAUGGGAGAGGGAAGCGGAAUUCCUGGUGUAGCGGUGAAAUGCGUAGAUAUCAGGAGGAACACCGGUGGCGAAGGCGGCUUCCUGGACCAAUACUGACGCUGAGGCGCGAAGGCGUGGGGAGCAAACA